UACACUAAAAUCCCGAUGUGGCUAUCAAUUGAGGCAACACGGGAAACCUCACCCAGCCCAGACACGGAAAGGAUUGACAGAUCGAUAGCUCUUUCUCGAUUCUGUGGGUGGUGAUGAAUGGCCGUUCUUAGUUGGUGGAGCGAUUUGUCUGGUUAAUUCCGAUAACGAACGAGACUCUGGCAUGCUAACUAGUUAUGCGACCCCUGAGCGGUUGACGUCCAACUUCUUAGAGGGACAAGUGGUGUUCAGCCACCCGAGAUUGAGCAAUAACAGGUCUGUGAUGCCCUUAGAAUUCCGGGGCUACACGUGCGCUAUACUGACUGGCUCAGCGUGUGUCUACCCUACGCCGACAGGUGCAAGUAACCCGUUGAACCCCAUUCAUGAUGGGGAUCGGGGAUUGCAAUUAUUCCCCAUGAACGAGGAAUUCCCAGUAAGUGCGGGUCAUAAGCUCGCGUUGAUUAAGUCCCUG
This 469-nucleotide non-coding RNA is filed under the name Ophiophagus hannah (king cobra). RNAcentral's name for it is "Eukaryotic small subunit ribosomal RNA". It matches the Rfam family "Eukaryotic small subunit ribosomal RNA", at positions 1165 to 1655 of the family's 1831-position model. Lineage: Eukaryota; Metazoa; Chordata; Lepidosauria; Squamata; Elapidae. The record is from Rfam by way of RNAcentral.